Ditylenchus destructor is the source of this 72-nucleotide non-coding RNA. The record is from the annotation of a GenBank genome assembly. NCBI's taxonomy places the organism in Eukaryota, Metazoa, Nematoda, Chromadorea, Rhabditida, Anguinidae.
GUCCCUAUGGCCUAAUGGAUAAGGCGUCGGUCUCCUAAACCGACGAUCCCAGUUCGAGUCUGGGUAGGGACU